Brienomyrus brachyistius is the source of this 1531-nucleotide long non-coding RNA. RefSeq lists it as uncharacterized. The transcript has 2 exons. NCBI's taxonomy places the organism in Eukaryota, Metazoa, Chordata, Actinopteri, Osteoglossiformes, Mormyridae. The record is from RefSeq and is a predicted model, not a curated record.
AUAGUUACAAAUAUAACAAACGACGCUGGUCUCACUUUUAUUAAACAUUUUUGUUAAGAAAUAAAAACAAAUCCCCGUGCAAAAUUACUGGCUCCUUCCUGCUACUGAUUUUGAUGCAACUUUCCUCGGUGAAAAUGGUCAAGAGAAGAGAACUAUCUGUGGAUAUCAGAAAAAAAAUCAUUGCAAAACAUAAAAAGCUAAAAGGCUACAAAUCCAUUUCGAAAGAUCUUGGUGUUCCUGUCUCAACAGUUCGCAAUGUUAUCAAGAAAUUUGCAACCCAUGGGACAGUAUUGAACCAAGCAGGACGUGGGCGUAAGAGGAAAAUUGAUCAGAAGUCUCUGCGACGGCUGGUGAGAACUAUUAAAAAAACACCACGUGCAACUGUUGAAGACUUAAAGGUUGACCUUGAGAGAUCUGGAACAGUAGUCUCCGCUACCACUGUCCGCAGGGCUCUAAAUCAGGAAGGGUUAUGUGGCUGCAGGGGCCUGUCGUUGAAAAGGACACAAAAGGGGCAGCCUGAACUCUUGAAAAGAAAAACAAAACAAAAAAAUCUUAAACUAGCCUAAGGCUUCCUAGAAAAAUGUUCUACUGAUGAACAAAUGUUGCAUUUGCUCCUGAGCUGCUGAAAUAAAUCAGAGGACAGAUCAAAAGAGCUCACAGAAUAAAUGUUAUAGACAAAUCAAGAAGUUAAGAGGGAUCCUCAAAAACUGAAACGAUGCAAGAAGUAGCUAAGGAGACGACUGAUGUUAGGUCAUCCACAGUAUGGACAAGUUUCUUGUCGUUUCCCAGCCCAGUUUUGGUCCUGUUCUGCCUACUGCUAAUUGUUUUUUUAUGUUGUAUUCCACACGGACUCAACCAUGCUCAUUUUUACACUGAUCUUUGCUGUGUUAAUUUUGCAAACUAAAUGGUAUACAUUUACUAGUGGUUACAAGUUCACUGAUUUCUUCAGAGGACUGAAAUGUAUGCGUGAAUAGCCACUGAAUGUGAUGGUAUCAUAGCAGCUUUGGAAUUGGGGUUAAAUUUGUCCUCUCUACUAACUGCCCUGUGUGACCUAGGGCCUGUAUCAUGAAGCAAGGUUUGUUGGUUAGCUGGAUAACUUAGAUUUAAGGUGUGCCAGUUUAAAUGAAGUUUGUCUUCAUUCACUCACAUUUGCUGUUAUAUAGCUAAGCAAGAAAUCCUGUUUUAUGAUACAGACCCCAGGGUAAUUAUGAUUAUUAUUAUUGCUCUUGUUACCUCUAUUUGUAUCAUACACAUUAAUAAUUUAACUUAAUUGGGAAUGUCUGUACUGCAGAUAUUGUUAGGGAUCAUUUGGUGGUCUUUAUAAAUGCACUACAGGAGACUUUAAAGUAGAAAGAACUUUUUUCCCCUUUUAGGAUGUUUUACUGCAGAUAGUCCACAAGUCCUUUUUAGGAAAUGACAUUGCCCACUAGAUGGCUCCCUUCCUGUAUGUAUAAUAUCAACAAUCUUGGCUUGCAACAGGAUUUCUGGCUAGUAGUUCACUAGAAUUAGUAAAUAAAACAUAUUUGCAAGA